CUAAUUUCCUCUUCAGGUCAGGUUGCUUCAGAGGUUUCUGAGUUCCAAGUUGGAGGUCCUUUCUUGAUUUCUAGAUCUCCAGUGCCAAAACUCAGCUUUGGCUUAAACGGUAGCUACUGUUUGGAGGACGCAGAGCUCCUCUGCCGAGGCUGAAACAUGGAUUAUUUUUGUCCUUCUUUGUGAGUACUUGAGGGAUAGUUGGAUGUGGAGCUGCGAGGCCUUUGAACCAUAUUUAGAUUUUUAAUCUGUUUAAUGUCAGGCUGAGAGCAGCGCCAUCCCCCUCUGUUCUGUUUGUCGGUUUCUCUGUUGACGUAUUUAGAUGCCAGGAUUGUGGGCUUGUGUGGGCUGAGACAGUGGGAUUUCGUUGUGGGUCGAGCCAUUGUCAACAACAAAAAAAUCCGUUCCUUGGCUGGUGGUGGUGGCUCAUGCCUGUAAUCCCAGCACUUUGGGAGGCCAAGGCAGGUGGAUCUUCUGAGGUCAGGAGUUCAAGACCAGCCUGGCCCACAGGGCGAAACUCCAUCUCUACUAAAAUAUAAAAAAUUAGCCAGGCAUGGUAGCAGGUGCCUGCAAUCCCAGCUGCUCGGGAGGCUGAGGCAGGAGAAUCACUUGAACCUGGGAGGCAGAGGUUGCAGUGAGCUGAGAUCGCGCCACCGCACUCCACCCUGGGCGACACAGCGAGACUCUGUCUCAGAAAAAGAAACCUCCCUUGAAUUGAAACUUCGAUAUGAAGGUUGCAACCCUUCCUUUUUGUUGGUGUGGCUUGGCAGAUCUUUGUGCUCCUGGUUGUAUCUCCUGAGUCGCUUGUUUCAAAACUGUCUUUGGUCGGCACCGUGUUUUCAGAUUAAAGACGUUAAGCACCCGUCCAUCUUCGUUCUCAGCUUUUCCUUCCAUCGUCUUAUUUUGUUUUUCCAUCUGUGUGCUCCCAACUCCGGAUUGCUUCCCCCGGUGUGUGUUUUCUGAAGCUCUGUACCGCUUUGCGGCUCUGCCAGUGGUUCUUUUCUAGUUUUGAAUAACACGUUUAAGGCCGUGAUUGAAUAGCGGUUAGUAUUCUGCGUUGUGAAGAACACGUUUAAACACGCCGUUUCUCGCGCUCUCAACGUCCGAAGUGAAAUCGCAUCUGCCCCCUUCUGUGAAAAUUGAGCCUGUAUA
Molecule: long non-coding RNA, 1149 nt
Filed under: Homo sapiens (human)
Lineage: Eukaryota; Metazoa; Chordata; Mammalia; Primates; Hominidae
Description: HSALNT0395592
Source: RNAcentral